AAAUCCCAAGACGUAGGAAAUUUGAAAACUUGAAAAAGACCCAUGGAAACUAAAAGAGAGAAGUUGUGAGCUUAUGAUAUUACAUGUGACUGACUGUAAUCACAAAACCGGUCAAUCUACGAAAAUCCUUGAUGAUAGACACACGUACAGUGGAAAAAAUUUAUUUCUGGAAAUUCGAUAGGUGAUGGAUGGAACCAGGAUGUUAUGUUAACUAUCUGAAAUCUGUGUAGACUAGCCUUUAAAAAGCAAAAGAAACUGGUUCGCAAUAUUUCGCCUGCGAGGGAGAGUUGAACCCUAUGGAAACACCAUCACAUCCAGCUUCUCAUUUCUAUUUGGGCACUUUGACUACUUCAAAACAUGAACUUAGCCAAAAAAGUGCAGAAGGUGAAAUUUCUGCUAGCAGUGCUCAGACAGUGAUUAUCAGCGGUGGCAAGAUGAAGACGGUCCGUACAUCAACGCCUGACCUGGUUCGCCAGAUGGAGUACUUUGAAUCUAGCGUUGGUAACGCGACCACGUACAUGCACGUGUUUAAGGAUGAUUGGGGUGCGGCUAACACACAGGAUCGUUCUGACACUCACAUUGUGAAUCAAACUUCGACCGUUGCCGCAACGAGUAGCUGUGUACAGCAGUCCACCUGUUCGCACGUACGCACUGAUUCAAUUGAUGGAUCAGACUCGACGAGAACCUUUCUGAAGUUUGCAAAGCAGCGCAGGGGUAGAGUUAAGGCUGAAACUCUACGCCCCAUGGGGGUGAGAGCCAGAAGGAAGAUGGAACUGGACUCUUGUGCUGAAUGUUCUAAGAAAGCUGAAGGUAACCCAUGUGAAGAGACAUCAGCAGUGGAAUCAAUGCAAGCCACCACAACGUAUGCACCUGCUGCUAGCAUCAAAAGAGGACAGUAUAGAUCAAGAAUGAUGGAUUCUGCGCGCCCGAAUCACUCUUACAUGCACCUUAUCAGGCUGGCUCUAAUCGCAGCGCCGUCCGGCAAACUUACCUUAAGAGAAAUCUACACGUGGAUAGAGCAAAACUUUCCAUACUUCAAGACCUGUUCUCAGGGAUGGAAGAACUCCAUUCGACACAAUCUCUCCUUGUAUGAUCUCUUCGUGAGAGAACCACCGAGUUUUCCUCAGUCGUCGAACGGACCGUCGCUAUGGAAACUCAACAUGGCUGUCAUGGCUGGCCAAGAUAGCAAAGAGCGAUUGGCGGAGGCUGUGUCGCACCCGAUCGCCACACCCGUGCUUCUCCCGAAGAUGCACCUGGGUUCUACGCUGCUGGUGCCACUCACCUGUGUGCAGUUGGACAGUGUCGGAGGCUUCCAGCCCGUUGUCCAGCAACCCUCGCAGCAGCAGCUGCAGUCGCUACCGGUCGCCGGCGUCGGCCGCCACAUCAGGGCGAUCCUCCCCAAGCCGGCGUCGGCUGCGGCGUACGAUCUGUCGACAUAUAACGCAUCCCUCCGCAUCGAUUUCGGCGCGAGAGUGGUGACGGCUAGCCCUGCCAUGGGCGAGCUGCUGUCAAACAUGAAAGCCGCGCGCUAUAACAACGCGCUCCCGUCCGCGCUGCACGCCGAUCUCGUCGAAUCGGCACCGCGCGUUCCCGCCGCGUCCUCGGAAGGAAGCAGGGCGCAGAGGACGAGAAGUGCAGCAAAGAGGAAGCCCGCGGCAGCCGGCGGCAGCAUCCCGCGUGCUGUGACCCGCCCGCGAAUCCUCCGCGGCACGAAGCGCACGAAGACGCAGCAGCGAGAGCGCGCGGAGGCGGUGGCGCCCCCUACACCCGACGACCCGACCCUGGCGACAUCGGACAGCCUCUUCUUGUCGUCGUGGGACGGCGACGCGAUGCGGCUCUUUGACUCGCCGCGUGUGGGCUGGCUGCAGCGGGAGCUCGCGACGCCGCCGCGCACGCACCGAAUCAGCCUCACAUCGACGCCGAGCCGCGGCCUGUCGCCCGUCUACCGGCGCGACGCCAUCGCCGACAGCGGCAUCUUCAGCGACGAGAACGCCACUUAUCCGCCGCCGCCGCCGCAUCGUUUCUCCUCCCUGUCGUGCGGCGGGGCGUCGCCGCCGUGGUGCCAGACGCUUGAGUCGUCGCCGCUGAACGUGACGGGGGGUGCGGUGACGGGGUCGCUGAGAGAGCUCGGCAUCGUUGGCCUGACACCGGUGAAGCCGCGCUGCAUGCUCAACACGAGUCUGAAUCUGAGCGCAAACCAGAGCUUCUCGGACGUGCUGAGAGCGAUUGAGCUAGACAACGGCUAGGUGGGAGAGGUGGUCAGGGUAGCAGGGUAGGAGAGAUGGACGAUGGCUAGGUGAGAGAGACGUGCUCAGUGCCUUUUAGCAGGGCAGGAGAGAUGGACAACGGCUAGGUGGGAGAGGUGGUCAGGGUAGCAGGGUAGGAGAGAUGGACAACGGCUAGGUGGGAGAGGUGGUCAGGGUAGCAGAGUAGGAGAGAUGGACAACGGCUAGGUGAGGGACGUGGUCAGGGUAGCAGGGUAGGAGAGAUGGAAAACGGCUAGCAGGGUAGGAAAGAUAGAAAACAGCUAACGAGUUCCGAGAGGUGGACAAUGGCUAGGUGGAAGACGUGGUCAGCACCUAGUAGCAGGGUAGGAGAGAUGGACAAUGGCUAGGUGAGAGAGGUGGUCAGGUUAGAAGGGUACGAGAGAUAGACAACGGCUAGAUGGGAGAAGUGAUCUACACCUGGUAGGAUCAUAGUUAUCGGGAGCAUAGAUCUAGCAAGUUCAGAGAGAUGGAUGAUGGCUAGCAGAGUAGGAGAGAUGGAGAAUGGCUAGGUGAGAGAGGGGAUCAGUGGCUAGUAGGAUCAGUGUUAGCGAGUUCGGAGAGAUGGACAACGGUUAGAUGAGAGAGGUAAUCGGUGCUUGGUAGGAUCACAGUGAGAGCAGCUAGCAAGUUCAGUAGGAGAGGUGGAUAAUGGCUAGCAGGGUAGGAGAGAUGGACAACGGCUAGUGGAGUCGGAAAGUGGACAGCAUUUAGUGGGGUCAGGGAGAUGGACUGAGGCUAGCAGGGUUAGGUACAGAUGGAUUGAGGUUAGCAGGGACAGAGAGAUGUACUGGAGCCAGCAGGUCUAAAGAGAUGGACAGAGGUUAGCAGGGUUAUGCAGAUGGACAGAGGUUAGCAGGUUCAGAGAGAUUAAUUUGAAGGUUUAGUUGGGUAGAAUCAGAAGUAGAUAAUAGGGAAUUCCGUAUUAUCUACUUCUGGUGGAAUGUUGCUAGCAAGUGAUAUAAGUUUACCAUGACUAACACGUGAAAGAGAAGGACAACGCCUAGCCUUUUGGAGAGAGACAUACCGUUACCAGCAAGAUCAUGGAGGUGUUAGUCAGUUUUCAUGCACACUCUACCCUGAGGGUCUUUCACAGGUAGCAGCUGCGGUUGCACUGUGAACACACGUGUGAACUACACGUGUGAACACGUAAUUGACUAGAGCGUUUACAUGAUAAAUAUGAGAAUCCCCUACACUAUGUCUAAAACUUUCGAAAUUCAAAACGUGAAGUGCUAAAGCAUAUGCUAAAGCAUGAACGUAUGCGUUCAUUAAUUCCAUGAUGGCAUCAGUACGUAUACGUAAUAAAGAUGUACUCUAUCAUA
RNAcentral lists this unclassified non-coding RNA (3586 nucleotides) under Priapulus caudatus. RNAcentral's name for it is "forkhead box protein M1-like, transcript variant X5". The record is from RNAcentral. Lineage: Eukaryota; Metazoa; Priapulida; Priapulimorpha; Priapulimorphida; Priapulidae.